This 271-nucleotide long non-coding RNA is filed under the name Elaeis guineensis (African oil palm). RNAcentral's name for it is "long non-coding RNA (EGUI_LNC016116)". The record is from RNAcentral. Lineage: Eukaryota; Viridiplantae; Streptophyta; Magnoliopsida; Arecales; Arecaceae.
GGUGAUUAUCUGAUGGCUACUGUGCUCGGAUGCCAAUGGCUUCGACAUUGGAUACCUUCAAGUGGACAUUGGAUGGCGGAGGUGCUGCUCUGGCGUUUUGACACUAGAUCCGACCUAGAACGAUAGCGGCAAGAAAGUCCAAGUACCAGAGAUAUCUAGUGGAGAGCCUUCCAAUACCAAAAUCAAACACAACUCUCAGGAAACAGGAGGAUGCCUAAGAUAUGACACAAAGGUAAGAAAGUCGAAAGAGAAUUUAUCCAGAGGGAACCCC